RNA transcript from Myotis myotis, 2592 nucleotides. It is a transcript of the gene named chromosome unknown C1orf109 homolog, with no coding region annotated. The record is from RefSeq and is a predicted model, not a curated record. The transcript has 5 exons. Lineage: Eukaryota; Metazoa; Chordata; Mammalia; Chiroptera; Vespertilionidae.
UCAGAGGAACUGCGGGUAUAGGCCAGCGGCUCCGCCGGGUCCUCAGAAUUGGACGGCCGCUGAAGCGACCGGCCGACCGAAGGGCAGGAGACAAGAUUCCGGAAGCACAACAGGUCUGGCGCUGGGGCGGCCGGGCUUGGGCCCCGGGCAUCCGCAGUCUGCAGCCCGAUGACUCCAGACGGGCCCCUGCUGGCGGUGCAGGCGGCCCUGAAGAAGUGCUUUCCUGUGGUGGAGGAGCAGCAGCGCCUGUGGCGGAGCAGCCUGAGCGACUGCCCGCCGCUCCUGGCCUCCCUCGGCAACCUGGCCGAGCAGCUGCGGGCGGCGCAGAACCUGCGCUUUGAGGACGUGCCGGCGCUGCGGGCCUUCCCGGGUUUGCAGGAGCGGCUGAGGCGCAAGCAGCUGGAGGCCGGGGACGCGGUCCUGGACCAGCUCGGAGAGCGGCUAGCGGCCCUCCUCAAGGUGCGUGACACUGUCAGCAGCCACGUGAGACAAGUGCUGCAGAUCUAUGAGCAGCAUGCAGACGCAAUCGGCAUUGACGCUGUCCUGCAGGCUUCGGCGGCGAGCCCCUCUGUGGCUGACAUGUUGGAAUGGCUACAAGAUAUUGAGAGACAUUAUCAAAGUUCGUAUCCUUUGCACACAUUUCAAAUAGAAGGUACCUGAAGAGAAAGUACCUCCUGUCCUCAAUCGAUUGGGGAGACUUGGCAGGGAUCCAAGCUUUGCCCACAGCCUGGGACCGGAUUUCGGAAGAUGAACACCAAGACUUGGUACCAGCUUGGGCUGGACUUACAGGUUUGCUUCUAGGGAAUAGAAUACUGCAGACAUGGUGGGAUGCCACUUCUGAAACUAAAUUAUGAAAAAGACUGCACCUUCCGUCUUGGGUGUCUCCCACUCUCUUGGAUCACUCAUCCUGGGGGAAGUCAGCAGCGAUGCUGGGGGCAACCUGUGGAGAGCCCGGGUGAGAGACUGCAGCCUGCCAGCAACCACCGGAGGGAGCUUGGAAGCAGAUCCUCUCCCUCAGGUGAGACCACAGCCCCUGCUAACUGCUUGACCACAGCCUCAUGAGGACCUACGCCAGAGGCAGCAGAGGCAAGCCGCUAAGCUGUGCCCAGAUGCCUGACCCAUGGAAACAUAAUAAAGGUCUCAAGUCAUUCUGUUUUGGGUUCCACAGCAAUAGUUAGCGAAUACAACGAGCAAGUAUGUGUGUGUCUUCUCCAUAAUUUUACACAAAUAGUCAAAUAUAGAUCCAGUUUCGUGCCUUGUUUUUUCUAAAGCAGUUGCAGAGUUUUCUGUUGUGUGGGCUUACCGUAAUUUAUUUCACUAGCCCCUGCCUCAUGGACGAGUAGGCUGUCUGAAGUCUCAGUAUCGGUUAGGUAUCAGCACCCUCCCUCCACUCCCACCCCUGCUCGGGAUGCUUUUCUUCAAUUAGCUGGUCCCAUCCCACCCACUCAGCCCCAGUAAAAAAGAAUUCUGUUGGUAUUUUUACUGGAAUCCUAUUACAUUUAGAAACUGAUUUAGGGAGAAUCAUCAUAGUGGGAGUAACACUCCUCCAGCCGUGCCACUGGCUUUGGGUUGAGAUAGCAAAUGUGAGUUCUUUGCUGUUUCCCUCAGUUGGGAAAAUAGGCUCUGAGUUCAGAACACAUUCCCUGUCAGUGAGACAGUCUGUUGGGAUGACAUGAAUUCAGGUUUCUUUCCUUCCUGUCUCUACCCCAUCCCCAUUUAGACAUCAACCUCAAGACUGUUCUCUCAGGCAGAGUAGGGGUUUUUCAGAGUCAGUGGGAUCCUAGCUCAGAGGAGGACUUCUCCCCGCCCAAGCAGAGUCCAGGCUUUAUAGUGAUUGUAUCAUGUUCGAUUUUAAUCUGGAUGAUAGGGGCUGGGAACCAUCUGCGACUUGUUCAAGCAUUAGGUGUUAAUAAUUCCUUCUUCCCAUGGAGGAGCAGGCUCAGGGGUGAGGGUGCAUUGAUAAUCAGCUCGGGGAAGGCCUGCUGAAUGGCAAGUGACCCAGACCUGCAUUCAAGUCUCAGCUCAAGUGACCUGGGGUGAGUCAUUUCCCAUCCAAGUUUCGGUUUCUUCAUCUGUAUAAUGGAGAUGAUGAUAUACGUCCUCACAGGGUUGUACGUUUUAAGUGAGAGGAGGUAUGUGAGGACUUUCGGUGAAUUUAUAAACAUGGUCAUGUACCAAGUGCAUAGCUCCGCUGUGGAACCGGUAUGCUUGCGAGACGGUGUUUUCCGAGUGCGCAUAGCUUGUCAGUGACUUGGCAGAAUUUGCACCAGGGUUUUGUGGGUUCUGGUGAGGGGUCUUUCCCUUGCACCACUGUUUCCUCCUUGCCACAGAGGCAAAAGCAUCCCUGACACCUCCUCAGCGGGACAAGAGUUGGGUUUCCUGAACACCCAGCCCUGCACGGGACAUGGUUCCUCCAAACAGCAGAGGUAAGUGCAGUGCUGCCCCAUCUGGCGUGCCAGUGGCACAGGGCAUCCAAGGCGCUGGGCAGCUGCAACCUUGCCAGUUACCCUCCCUUCUGGUCCCCCAGCCGGGAGGGCUGGAGUGAAUCCUGGGGCUGCCUGCCAGAGUCUUACACUUUUGCUCUUUAUGCGA